This 605-nucleotide long non-coding RNA is filed under the name Gallus gallus (chicken). Its description in RNAcentral is "lncRNA (ENSGALG00010025774.1)". The record is from RNAcentral. Lineage: Eukaryota; Metazoa; Chordata; Aves; Galliformes; Phasianidae.
CCCUCCUCCACCGGCAGUGAAGGUGCAGCGAUGCAGCUGGCUUCUGCUGGAGGUUGUGAGCAAGAAACGCCAGAAGCUGCCCAACAGCGUGAAGCUCUCCGUUCCGGAGAAGCCGUAGGGAGGAUGACGGCAACGACGGAUGUUAAUGAAGAGCAGCCUGCAGAGGAAAAAAGAAAGGAUGUGGGGAGAGGGGUGCCCUCCGGCUGAGGAGGGGACCCCGUGCGUGGAGGUUCAGCUGCCUGCAGCUCUUCUCCCCGACUUGCUUUCCCGUGCUGUGGAGGAAGGGCACGUCUCCGCAGCUGACAUCUCCCUUGGGCCUGCGCUUGCACCGAGCCGCUGCCAGAACGGGAACUGCAGGCGUCUGUUGAACAACAAAGCAAACGCCCAAGCAUUUCGGGUGUGAUGUCCCCAGCAUUCCAAGGAGAGAUUACGCAGCAGCAGCCCAAACGUCUGGAAUGGCUUCUUUCUAGGAGAGAAGCAAAGCCUUGGCGGAGCCAGAGCAGGAGCUUCUUUCCUGAAGGGAAGAGAACCUCCAGCCAUCGCUAUCCAUCUCCUCCCCGGCCAAAGGCCAAAGGCCAAAAGCCAAAGGCCAAAUCCCAAAUCCC